This is a non-coding RNA of Cicer arietinum (chickpea), 88 nucleotides long. NCBI's taxonomy places the organism in Eukaryota, Viridiplantae, Streptophyta, Magnoliopsida, Fabales, Fabaceae. The record is from Rfam.
AGUCUAUGAUGAAAAUUCAUCUGUGCUGGAGCGAGUCAUCUUUUGUUCUCGUCGAUGAUGGCGCAAUCCUCUAAGAAGUUCUGAGCUC